CCACACAGGCUUCUCUUCAGAUCUUACAAAUGUUUUGCCUUUUAUUAAAGAUUUCUGUGGAGUAGCAAGUUUACGAGUUUCAAUCCAACCUAAACUGUGACUAUUCUCAGCU
Aquila chrysaetos chrysaetos is the source of this 112-nucleotide small nuclear RNA. Its record names the gene U5. It matches the Rfam family "U5 spliceosomal RNA". Rfam says of the family: U5 RNA is a component of both types of known spliceosome. The precise function of this molecule is unknown, though it is known that the 5' loop is required for splice site selection and p220 binding, and that both the 3' stem-loop and the Sm site are important for Sm protein binding and cap methylation. The record is from Ensembl. Lineage: Eukaryota; Metazoa; Chordata; Aves; Accipitriformes; Accipitridae.